UAAGGAAUAUUGCUCAAUGGGAGAAAUCCUGAAGCAGCAACGCCGCGUGGAGGAUGAAGGGUCUAUGACUUGUAAACUCCUGUAAAGAAGGAAAAAAUUCCCAUUAGAUGGGAGAUGAUGGUACUUCUGGAGUAAGCCCCGGCUAACUACGUGCCAGCAGCCGCGGUAAUACGUAGGGGGCAAACGUUGUCCGGAUUUACUGGGUGUAAAGGGUGCUCAGGCGGAUUUGUAAGUCAGAGGUGAAAUCUUACAGCUUAACUGUGAAACUGCCUUUGAUACUGCAAGCCUAGAGUAUGGAAGAGAGUGAUGGAAUAUCUGGUGUAGCAGUGAAAUGCGUAGAUAUCAGAUAGAACACCAAUGGCGAAGGCAGUCACUUGGUCCAUUACUGACGCUAAAGCACGAAAGCGUGGGUAGCAAACA
RNAcentral lists this ribosomal RNA (420 nucleotides) under uncultured bacterium. RNAcentral's name for it is "bacterial SSU rRNA". It matches the Rfam family "Bacterial small subunit ribosomal RNA", at positions 355 to 774 of the family's 1533-position model. The record is from RNAcentral.